This 671-nucleotide long non-coding RNA is filed under the name Homo sapiens (human). RNAcentral describes it as "non-protein coding lnc-ARL8A-2:1". Lineage: Eukaryota; Metazoa; Chordata; Mammalia; Primates; Hominidae. The record is from RNAcentral.
GUGGAGAUCUCUGCAGUAAGUACUGCCUAUCAGAGUCGUCCCACCAUGGGCUGUGAUGGCCAGGUGUUUCUAGCCUUAUCUUAGUCACUAGAUCCAGGCUGCCCUGGGGAGGCAUGACCUCAGGCUCUCUCAAACUGAGGCAGACUAUGACAGAGCUGACAGCUGGGAGCUAUCUGGUGGCCUCACUCCCCACACCUGGGCAGCGAGUCCUUCCUUGAGGGAGGAUCUACGCAGCACAUCUUUGAGUCUACAAAAAAAGCAAUUUAACAUUCAUUCAGUCAACAAACAUUACUUCCUAUUAUUAUCUGCUAAGCACUAUUCUAGGUGCUGCAGAUGCAGCCACGUAAGAGACAAGCAGUGCUCUCAUACGGCACUGUAUGACUUAACAGACUAUUCACCUAGAGAUCAGGUUGACAUCACCUUAUAAAACUUGAGGAUUCUGGCCAGGGACGGUGGCUCAUGCCUGUAAUCCCAGCACUUUGGGAGGUUGAGGCGGGUGGAUAACCUGAGGUCAGGAGUUUGAGACCAGCCUGGCCAACAUGGUUAAACCCUCAUCUCUACUAAAAAAAUACAAAAAUUAACUGGACGUGGUGGUGCAUGCCUGUAGCCCCAGCUACCGGGGAGGCUGAGGCAAGAGAAUCACUUGAACCCAGGAGGCAGAGGUUGCAGUG